This 55-nucleotide ribosomal RNA is filed under the name Colletotrichum fragariae. Its description in RNAcentral is "partial 28S ribosomal RNA". The record is from RNAcentral. Lineage: Eukaryota; Fungi; Ascomycota; Sordariomycetes; Glomerellales; Glomerellaceae.
AAAGGUUGACCUCGGAUCAGGUAGGAAUACCCGCUGAACUUAAGCAUAUCAAUAA